This 492-nucleotide ribosomal RNA is filed under the name uncultured bacterium. Its description in RNAcentral is "partial 16S ribosomal RNA". It matches the Rfam family "Bacterial small subunit ribosomal RNA", at positions 29 to 507 of the family's 1533-position model. The record is from RNAcentral.
AGUGAACGCUGGCGGUAGGCCUAACACAUGCAAGUCGAACGGCAGCACAGUAAGAGCUUGCUCUUACGGGUGGCGAGUGGCGGACGGGUGAGGAAUACAUCGGAAUCUACUUUUUCGUGGGGGAUAACGUAGGGAAACUUACGCUAAUACCGCAUACGACCUACGGGUGAAAGCAGGGGAUCUUCGGACCUUGCGCGAUUGAAUGAGCCGAUGUCGGAUUAGCUAGUUGGCGGGGUAAUGGCCCACCAAGGCGACGAUCCGUAGCUGGUCUGAGAGGAUGAUCAGCCACACUGGAACUGAGACACGGUCCAGACUCCUACGGGAGGCAGCAGUGGGGAAUAUUGGACAAUGGGCGCAAGCCUGAUCCAGCCAUACCGCGUGGGUGAAGAAGGCCUUCGGGUUGUAAAGCCCUUUUGUUGGGAAAGAAAAGCAGCGGGUUAAUACCCCGCUGUUCUGACGGUACCCAAAGAAUAAGCACCGGCUAACUUCGUG